RNAcentral lists this ribosomal RNA (116 nucleotides) under Pteropus alecto (black flying fox). Lineage: Eukaryota; Metazoa; Chordata; Mammalia; Chiroptera; Pteropodidae. The record is from RNAcentral.
GUCUAUGGCCACGCCACCCUGAACAAGCCUGGAGUCUGGUCUCGGAAGCUAAGCAGGGUCGGGCCUGGUUAGUACUUGGAUGGGAGACCACCUAGGAAGACCAGGUGCUGUAGGUG